Molecule: ribosomal RNA, 301 nt
Filed under: uncultured bacterium
Lineage: Bacteria
Description: partial 16S ribosomal RNA
Rfam family: Bacterial small subunit ribosomal RNA
Source: RNAcentral
CAGCCGCCGCGGUAAAACGAGGGGGGCAAGCGUUGUUCGGAAUUAUUGGGCGUAAAGGGUGCGUAGGCGGUUUCGUAAGUCUGAUGUGAAAUCUAUGGGCUCAACCCAUAGUCUGCAUCGGAAACUGCGAGGCUUGAGAGUGGGAGAGGUGAGUGGAAUUUCCGGUGUAGCGGUGAAAUGCGUAGAUAUCGGAAGGAACACCUGUGGCGAAAGCGGCUCACUGGACCAUUACUGACGCUGAGGCGCGAAAGCUAGGGGAGCAAACAGGAUUAGAUACCCCAGUAGUCCCUGUCUCUUAUAC